This 734-nucleotide long non-coding RNA is filed under the name Homo sapiens (human). RNAcentral's name for it is "HSALNT0295656". The record is from RNAcentral. Lineage: Eukaryota; Metazoa; Chordata; Mammalia; Primates; Hominidae.
UGCGGCCUGAAGAUGCCUGAGGCCCGGACUCUCAGACCCCUAUUGCCCUUUGGUGCUGGAGGCCCAGCGGCAGCCUGAAGCCCAAGAGAGUGGAGCCUCGCGAAAUGAGGAACCUGGCACAAGGUUUGCUUGGAAGCAGGAACGACGGAGUGUGGCUACGUGCCCUAUUUGCCAUUAACGCUUUCUUGCAUGGCAGUGAGAGAUGAGGGCAAGGGAGGUGGCAUAAUGCUCCCGGCCGCUUGGGACUCGGAGAGACGGCAUUUAAUAAAUCACACGCGGUAUUUGCGAAACAGUGGUCGAGAUUCGUCUUCCCGGGUUCAUUGCGUCAUUAAUAGGCGGGAACAGUGCCCCUGUGUUGAGGCUGCAGAGGCCCUAAUUGGUUUUCCCAAGACAGAGGGGCAUAUGAGAUUGAACAAAUAUUUGUUGAAUGAAUGAACAAAGGGAACGCCUUUUAGGGAUGUUUCUGGGGGAAAGGCCUGAGGUUCUCCAGGAGGGUCUGCAGCUAGGGUCGGCCGUGGGGGCUCGCAGCCCGCGGGACCACCGGACCUGCAAGCGUCCCCCUGCCCCGCCCCCGCCUCGGCGCUCUGAGCAAUUGGACUCUGCCAGCUCUAACUCCGGCGGGACUCUGAAACUCAGGUGUUCUGGACUUGGAAGAUUUGUUGAAUUACUAUGAAGUCACAUCUAAAGUUUGAAAGAGAUCGGGUCUCACUAUUUUGCCCACGCUGGUCUUGAAC